ACAGCAAGCGGCGGGGGUUCGAUUCCCUCACGGCGUAACGCCGUUGGUGAAAUGGUUAUCAUGCUUGCCUUCCAUU
This 76-nucleotide transfer RNA is filed under the name Rhizoctonia solani AG-1 IB. Its description in RNAcentral is "tRNA-Gly". Lineage: Eukaryota; Fungi; Basidiomycota; Agaricomycetes; Cantharellales; Ceratobasidiaceae. The record is from RNAcentral.